RNAcentral lists this ribosomal RNA (1000 nucleotides) under Amphimedon erina. Its description in RNAcentral is "bacterial SSU rRNA". It matches the Rfam family "Eukaryotic small subunit ribosomal RNA", at positions 539 to 1770 of the family's 1831-position model. The record is from RNAcentral. Lineage: Eukaryota; Metazoa; Porifera; Demospongiae; Haplosclerida; Niphatidae.
ACGAGAACAAGGGCAAGUCUGGUGCCUUCCAGCUCCAAUAGCGUAUAUUAAAGUUGUUGGAUUUCGGAGGACCGGGGGUCUGUCAGAGAUGCUCCCUCUCGGAGGCCCUGGCUGACCUUAACUGGCAGGAUUCGGGACGUUUACUUUGAAAAAAUUAGAGUGUUCAAAGCAGGCUGGAUACAUUAGCAUGRWRYAAUGGAAUAGGGUUUUGUUGGUUUUCGGGCCGAGKUCAUGGUUAAGAGGGACAGUUGGGGGCAUUCGUAUUAAUUGUCAGAGGUGAAUUCUUGGAUUUAUGGAAGACGAACAACUGCGAAAGCAUUUGCCAAGGAUGUUUCAUUAAUCAAGAACGAAAGUUUUCGAAGACGAUCAGAUACCGUCGUAGUCCCAACCAUAAACUAUGCCGGCUAGGGAUCGGCGGACGCCUCCGUCGGCACCUUGAGAGAAAUCAGAGCCUUUGGGUUCCGGAGUAUGGUCGCAAGGCUGAAACUUAAAGAAUUGACGGAAGGGCCAGGAGUGGAGCUUAUUUGACUCAACACGGGGCAACUCAGUCCGGACAUGGGAAGGAUUGACAGAUCGAGAGCUCUUUCUUGAUUCUAUGGGUGGUGGUGGGCCGUUCUUAGUGGUGGGGUGACUUUCUGGUUAAUUCCGUUAACGAACGAGACCUUAACCUGCUAACUAGCCGCCCGAACGGCUUCUUAGAGGGACAGUUGGCCAGAGAGGCAAUAACAGGUCUGUGAUGCCCUUAGAUGUCCUGGGCCGCACGCGCGCUACACUGACGGAGCCAGCGAGCCUUCGCCGAAAGGUGCGGGUAAUCUUGGAGCCUCCGUCGUGCUGGGGAUAGAUGGUUGCAAUUAUUGAUCUUGAACGAGGAAUUCCUAGUAAGCGCGAGUCACCAGCUCGCGUUGAUUACGUCCCUGCCCUUGUACACACCGCCCGUCGCUACUACCGAUUGGAUGGUUUAGUGAAAACUUCGGAUCGAGAAGUUGUUUAAAUUUCUAGA